AUACGGAGGGUGCGAGCGUUAAUCGGAAUUACUGGGCGUAAAGCGUGCGUAGGCGGUUUGUUAAGUCAGAAGUGAGAGCCCUGGGCUCAACCUGGGAACGGCUUUUGAGACUGGCAGACUCGAGUUGAGUAGAGGGGAGUGGAAUUUCCGGUGUAGCGGUGAAAUGCGUAGAGAUCGGAAGGAACACCAGUGGCGAAGGCGACUCCCUGGACUCAAACUGACGCUGAGGUACGAAAGCGUGGGUAGCAAACAGGAUUAGAUACCCCAGUAGUCC
RNAcentral lists this ribosomal RNA (274 nucleotides) under uncultured bacterium. RNAcentral's name for it is "partial 16S ribosomal RNA". It matches the Rfam family "Bacterial small subunit ribosomal RNA", at positions 523 to 796 of the family's 1533-position model. The record is from RNAcentral.